GGUCUGGAUUUCUAGGCUACAUAAACGAAAAGACAGUAUCAUCUCGGUAGUUUUUUUUUUUUUUAUAUGUUUGAUGACAGCAUCAACCAUCAUCAAAUGGUGUGUUUUGCUCCAUUUCUCAGUCAACUUUGCUUGUACGAGGAGUUUUUAACAUCUUAUUAUCAAGAGAAUCAAACGGUCGAUAAAGGAUUUUUUUUUUGUUUUCUGGAUACAUACGUAUAACACCCAAAGUAGAGAGAGAAGUAGAAGGUUAGAGAGAGAUGAGAGUGCAUGGGGUCGUGGUUAUUUCUGGAACUGAGAGAACAGCUGGUAGGGUCGAGUCUGCAGCUAUGUUUUGUCUUUUUUAACGUUGGCUUUCCCCUCUUUUUACUCCUCUUAAAAACCCCUCUUCACCCAUAUCCUUCUCUUCAUCAUCUCAUGAUCAUCACCUAACCCCCCUCCCCUUUCUCUCUCUCUCUCUCUCUCUCUCUCAGUCCCCCUUGAACACAGGCGAGACUCUUGGGGGGUAAAGAGAUAAGAGAAUCAGGGAUACACAUACAUAAUUCAUGAGAAAAAAAGCCUCUUUCAAGAUAGUUUUAAUUGAGAUGUCCUGAGCGGAGUAACCAAUUUGAGGGGAAUGUUGUCUGGCUCGAGGACACUUGUUUUUAAUCCAUUUCUUGCAUUACAAUUCAUUUAUGGAUCUGGUUAUUGCUGUAAUGGAUUGAGGCUGUACAAGGUCGUCGGACCAGGCUUCAUUCCCCCUAAUGCUUGCUCCUAUAUGGGACUGCCGACUGCCUAACCAAGUCUAGAUUCUAGAUCACGGGGCUGCAGCAUGGAAAGAUUGGUGUAAUGAUGAAGAGUUUUGACCAAUUUUUGUUCAUCAUCUGUGUAAAAAGUUUCAUCAUUACUCUUUUUUUGUUUUUUCUUUUUCUUUGAUGCUAUGAUGUUUUUGUCAGUCCAAACACUUAUAUUUCUGAUUUAUCAUUAGGCAGAUCUUUCCCAUGACGGCUUCCUGUUCUCUGAUCUGUCUGUUUCUGCUGUUUUCAGAUCCGGCUUUGAACUUUUGGUAAACAUUCUCUCUUCUUUUACCAUCUCUCUAGGGUUUCAAGACCUAGGCUCUUCCCUCAAAAUCAAUCCUUUUUUUAAACGAUGCUUGACCUUGGUAAAGAACCGAAGAUGAGGGAAAAAUAAAGACUUGCCCUUUCUUUAACAGUUUCAAAGUCCCAUGAAAUAGAGUUCCUUGGCAUGAGGGGUUACCAAGUCAAUUCUAAGAUGAUAAAUAUCCUUCACUCUUGUAUAUGCUGAUUAGAUCUGUAUUAUCUCUUAUCUGUUUUGCAUGGUGAAUGAAAUGUAUUAAGCCUUGAAUUUAUUAUGAUGCAGUAAUAAUUUUGAAUAUGCCAGCUAUAUUGUUUAUUCUAUUUUAGUUUCAUUGAAAUGAAUAAUGGAGCUUUCACUGUAAAUACAUGUCUUGAAGAGUUAGCAUAGGAAAAUGACAGCUUUUGUAAGCAAUAGGUUUGCCAAUGGAAGUGGGCACAGACAUGGGUCUGAUUAAACAAUACCCACAUGGCCUGGUUUCGUCAUGACAUCUUAUCUGAAACCCUAAAUUUGAUAAUCAAGAUGUCACUGUUGAGUGUUGAAAUUUUAGUUAAAACACACCCCCCUUAAUUGUUCCAUCUAUCAAAUGCUUUCUUCUUUCAAAUCCUGGGUUUUCAGCAGCUACUAGUCUGCCACUGCUCCCUCAUGGGAUUGAGAUGUGUGCUAAUUUACUUGCAGCAUUUUGUUUUACUUACAACAGGGUUAACUAAAGGAGCUUUGUGCAGUAAAGUACAUGGUCUAAUUAACAAGUAACUAUCAUUUGAAGGAAGGGAGCUUUUACCUAUGUUGGUGCUUCAUCUGUACAUUUUAGGGAAUUAGUGAUCAAAACGAGGUGUAAAGUUUUACUAUUGUUUACAUUUCCCAUCAUACUUUUUCCAUUUUUUGCUCUGGCUUCUUUAUUCAUGGUCCAUGGAAGCUGAGCAACAGAACACAGCAAAGAAACAGUUGAUUAGAAGUUUGGCAGAGAUGAGAUGAGUUUAUCUAGGCCUAUAUCAGGGCCUUAGGUAACACGUAUCCAGUAGCUUGUCACCCCAGCAUUCAUCAUCCACUACAUUCAGUAAUAAUCACAUGACUGUUCACAAGCUCAUUCGAAAGAUUAUCCAUGGAGUACUUCUCUCAAUGCUUUGUGCAGUGAAAGUUAUUUUGUUGUAUUAAAAUCCCGGUUAGCUAGGAAUCUAGGAAACAAAUGUUAGCUUCUUCUUUUUUUAAUAUUACUUGUAUAUGUGCUUUGUACCUUGAGAGUUUUCCUUUCUAUAGUUUGAAUAUAUCUAUCCUUUUUUUUUCCUGAA
Gossypium raimondii (Peruvian cotton) is the source of this 2363-nucleotide long non-coding RNA. RefSeq lists it as uncharacterized. The transcript is spliced from 2 exons. The record is from RefSeq and is a predicted model, not a curated record. Lineage: Eukaryota; Viridiplantae; Streptophyta; Magnoliopsida; Malvales; Malvaceae.